RNAcentral lists this ribosomal RNA (254 nucleotides) under uncultured bacterium. Its description in RNAcentral is "partial 16S ribosomal RNA". It matches the Rfam family "Bacterial small subunit ribosomal RNA", at positions 524 to 776 of the family's 1533-position model. The record is from RNAcentral.
CACGUAGGGGGCGAGCGUUGUCCGGAAUUAUUGGGCGUAAAGAGCUCGUAGGCGGUGUGUCGCGUCGGCCGUGAAAACCUGCAGCUUAACUGUGGGCCUGCGGUCGAUACGGGCAUCACUGGAGUUCGGCAGGGGAGACUGGAAUUCCUGGUGUAGCGGUGAAAUGCGCAGAUAUCAGGAGGAACACCGGUGGCGAAGGCGGGUCUCUGGGCCGAUACUGACGCUGAGGAGCGAAAGCGUGGGGAGCGAACAGG